UCAUGCAAAAUAGCAUGGGUCGGAAAAUAGUAGCCAAACCGAGUCCAAAUUGAAUCAAAUGGGGGAACCGGACGCCGACGCGAGGUAUACGCCUCCCGGCACGGUGAUAGGUAAUAAACCAAACGCCGACUCCACGCCCUCCGCAUUCCUGCGAUCCUCCUCCCCUUCCCUGGCGGAUAAGAUCAUCUCUGCCCGAUCUCUCUCUCUCUCUCGCUCGCUCUCACAGGCGCUCUCGUCCCGCAAAAUUAGGGUUAGGGUUUCGGCCCCGCCUUCCCUUCUCUUUCCCCGUCCUAUGAGGCGAAUCGCUCCUUCGCAUUGACCUCCGCUUCGAGUUCAUCAUCGAUGGCGACCGCCGCGCCCCCGCCCUACCCCGACGAUCCCGCCGUCUGGUACGGAAGCAUCCAGUACCUCCUCAACAUCUCCGCCGCUGGCGCCGCCUCUUGCCUCCUCCUCUUCCUUCUCGUCAAGCUUCGGUCUGACCACCGCCGCUCCCCCGGCCUCUCCGCCCUAGCCUCCAAGCUCCUCGCCGUCUACCACGCCACCACCGCCCAGAUCGCCCUCCAUUGCGGCGCCGAUGCUGCUCAAUUCCUGCUCAUCGAGCGCGCUAGCUUCGCCAUCCUCCUCGCUGUCGCUCUCGUUGCCCUCUGCGCUGGGCUGCCACUCAAUCUCUGGGCCGGAUCGGCGCCCCUCGCUGAUCAGUUUGCUCGCACCACCAUCUCCCACAUCCGGCCAGGCUCGCCGCUGCUCUGGCUCCCCUUCCUUCUUGCGGCAAUCGUGGUCGCCAUUGCCCACGUUGGGAUCUCUCGGAUGGAAGAUGACCUCAGGAUCACUCGAUUCCGUGACGGGAACCGGCACCCUAGCGACCCCAAUUCGGGAUCGGUCUCGAUGUUCACCGUCAUGGUGCAGGGGAUCCCCAAAAGCCUAGCUGCCAAUAAAGCCCAGCUGGAGGAGUACUUUCAGCACCGCUAUCCAGGGAAGGUCUACCGGGUGAUCGUGCCUUUCGAUUUGUGCACCCUGGAAUAUCUUGCUGCGAAGUGGACGAAGGUCCAGAAUGAGAUCUCUUCCUUGGAAGCUCGUAUUGGAACCCCAAGCCUGUCCGAUGAUGACCUAUUCGGUAGCCAGCUUAAUCAGCAUCAACUAUGGAGGAGAGCCAAAGAGGCGUGGGCAAUGAUUGUUGUAAAGUUGGGCCUUACAAAGGAAGAGAGGCUGAAGAAAUUGCACGAUAUGAGGUCGGUGUUGCAAACCAAACUGUUGGAUUACAAGGAAGGGCGGGCACCGGGUGCUGGAAUUGCAUUCAUUGUUUUUAAGGAUGUUUACACCACCAACAAGGCUGUGAGGGAUUUAAGAACCGAGAGAAAGAGGAGACCUACUGGGCAGUUCUUCCCUGUGAUGGAACUCCAACUCGGACGGAACCGAUGGAGGGUAGAGAGGGCUCCGCCUGCGGUCGAUAUAUAUUGGAAUCAUUUGGGUUUGAGCAAGGUUUCACUGAGAAUGCGUAAGAUAGCUGUGAAUGGUUGCCUUCUUUUGAUGCUUCUCUUCUGCAGUUCACCUCUUGCAGUGAUUAAUGCGAUGAAGAGUGCUGCAAGGAUUAUCAAUGCUGAGGCUGUGGACAAUGCUCAGUUGUGGUUAACUUGGUUUGAAGGCUCGAGCUGGCUUGGGGCUGUUAUCCUUCAGUUCUUGCCUAAUGUCCUUAUAUUUGUGAGCAUGUACAUAAUAAUACCAUCUGCCCUGUCCUACCUUUCCAAGUUUGAAUGCCAUCUUACUGUUUCUAGGGAGCAAAGAGCUGCAUUGCUUAAAAUGGUUUGCUUCUUUUUGGUAAAUCUCAUUCUUCUGCGUGCAAUGGUUGAGUCGUCUCUGGAGGGUGCAAUACUUGGUAUGGGGAAAUGUUACUUGGAUGGAGAAGAUUGCAGGCGUAUCGAGCAGUACAUGAGUGCAUCAUUCCUUACAAGGUCAUGCCUCUCCUCUCUCGCUUUUCUGAUUACAAGCACUUUUCUGGGGAUAUCCUUUGAUCUCUUGGCUCCAGUACCCUGGAUAAAGAACAUACUGAAGAAAUUUCGGAAAAAUGACAUGGUUCAGCUAGUUCCUGAGGAAAAUGAUGGCUACCCACUUGAAGAGAAUGGCGAAGAAAACUAUCUAAGGAUGCCUCUUGUGUCAGAGAGAGAGGACACUUAUGGUUCAAAUGGGGUUGAGGAACAUGAUCUUUCUGUGUACCCUGUGAAUAGGAGCUUCCAUGUCCCAAAGCAGACAUUUGACUUUGCACAGUACUAUGCUUUCAACCUGACAAUCUUUGCGCUGACCAUGAUCUAUUCUUUGUUUGCCCCGCUUGUGGUUCCUGUUGGUGCUGUCUACUUUGGUUACCGCUAUGUGGUGGACAAGUACAACUUCUUGUUUGUGUACAGAGCUCGAGGCUUUCCAGCUGGUAAUGAUGGGAAGCUGAUGGACAGGGUAUUGUGUAUUAUGCAUUUCUGUGUGGUCUUGUUUCUUCUGUCGAUGUUACUAUUCUUCACUGUUCAGGGGGACUCUACAAAGCUGCAGGCUAUUUUCAUUCUUGGGUUGUUAUUAUGCUAUAAAAUGCUCCCUUCCAGAAUUGAUGGAUUUCAACCAUCUUUAUUAGAAGGAAUGCAGAACAUCGAUAGCUUUGUAGAUGGGAAAACUGACUAUGAGUUACUAAUGGACCUGAGAAGGUGACAAGGAAGCUGCCAGAAUUGUAGAUUCAAUCACCGUAAAUAUGAGGACAAAACAAUCUGUCAUGAAGGCAAACUGGAGAUAGAAAAAGAAAAUGUCAAUUGCAGAUUCCAUGUUCCAACCACCUGACUCACUGUUUAAGCUAUAAAUGAAGAAUUUGAAGGACGAGAUAGCUCUCAUAGCUAAAGCUAAACUUUGGCGACACAGAGAUGUUUCCUCAUUAGUGACGAGUUGUUUUGUCCCCAAGGACGGACAGUCAUGAAAAGUGCAUUUGUGUUGCUUGUGAGAUAGUGUCGGGAAGGUGUGGCUUAUAAUGGUGACAUAUCUGGAUCGAAUUGAACCACCACGAUACUGUAUACUUUACCCAUCUUCUGAUAAUUAAAGCUCUGAAACUGCUUUCAGAAUUUUCAGCCAUUACUAAACCUUUAGUCUCACGAUGUACUCAUUACACUGGAACAAUAAGCCGAUGCUGCGUGUGCAUUUGCAGAAAUUGAGUUUGCUUGUAGGCCUGAUUGGUUUUCUUUCUUUGACAUCAUCACUUCUAUUACAUAAUCCAACUUUACAUUGAUUUGAUA
This is an RNA transcript of Musa acuminata AAA Group (dessert banana), 3260 nucleotides long. It is a transcript of the gene named CSC1-like protein At4g35870, with no coding region annotated. NCBI's taxonomy places the organism in Eukaryota, Viridiplantae, Streptophyta, Magnoliopsida, Zingiberales, Musaceae. The record is from RefSeq and is a predicted model, not a curated record. The transcript has 3 exons.